RNAcentral lists this ribosomal RNA (492 nucleotides) under uncultured bacterium. Its description in RNAcentral is "bacterial SSU rRNA". It matches the Rfam family "Bacterial small subunit ribosomal RNA", at positions 55 to 518 of the family's 1533-position model. The record is from RNAcentral.
AUGCAAGUCGAACGGUCGUUUCUAUGGAAGCUUGCUUCCACUGAGAAGAUAGUGGCGAACGGGUGAGUAACACGUGGGUAACCUGCCCAUAAGAGGGGGAGUAACAUCCGGAAACGGGUGCUAAUACCGCAUAGUUUUCUUGAUCGCAUGAUCGGGAAAGGAAAGACGGCCUUUGUGCUGUCGCUUAUGGAUGGACCCGCGGCGUAUUAGUUAGUUGGUGAGGUAACGGCUCACCAAGACGAUGAUACGUAGCCGACCUGAGAGGGUGAUCGGCCACAUUGGGACUGAGACACGGCCCAAACUCCUACGGGAGGCAGCAGUAGGGAAUCUUCCGCAAUGGACGAAAGUCUGACGGAGCAACGCCGCGUGAGUGAAAGAAGGUUUUCGGAUCGUAAAACUCUGUUGUCAGAGAAGAACAAGUUGGAGAGUAACUGCUCCAGCCUUGACGGUAUCUGACCAGAAAGCCACGGCUAACUACGUGCCAGCCGCCGC